UGGGGGAUAUUGCACAAUGGGCGAAAGCCUGAUGCAGCGACGCCGCGUGAGGGAAGACGGUCUUCGGAUUGUAAACCUCUGUCUUUGGGGAAGAAAAUGACGGUACCCAAAGAGGAAGCUCCGGCUAACUACGUGCC
RNAcentral lists this ribosomal RNA (137 nucleotides) under uncultured bacterium. RNAcentral's name for it is "partial 16S ribosomal RNA". It matches the Rfam family "Bacterial small subunit ribosomal RNA", at positions 355 to 509 of the family's 1533-position model. The record is from RNAcentral.